UACGUAGGGUCCGAGCGUUGUCCGGAGUUACUGGGCGUAAAGCGCGCGCAGGCGGCGGUGUUGGCCCGGCGUGAAAGCCCCCGGCUCAACUGGGGAGGGUCACGCGAUACUGCUCGACUCGAAGGCAGGAGAGGGAAGUGGAAUUCCCGGUGUAGUGGUGAAAUGCGUAGAUAUCGGGAGGAACACCGAUGGCGAAGGCAGCCCCCUGGGUCAAGAUUGACGCUCAUGCACGAAAGCGUGGGGAGCAA
Molecule: ribosomal RNA, 248 nt
Filed under: uncultured bacterium
Lineage: Bacteria
Description: partial 16S ribosomal RNA
Rfam family: Bacterial small subunit ribosomal RNA
Source: RNAcentral